Callithrix jacchus (white-tufted-ear marmoset) is the source of this 715-nucleotide long non-coding RNA. RefSeq lists it as uncharacterized. The record is from RefSeq and is a predicted model, not a curated record. NCBI's taxonomy places the organism in Eukaryota, Metazoa, Chordata, Mammalia, Primates, Cebidae.
CGUUGAGCAGCAAAAUUCACGUUUUGAUUCUUGCAUUCGCCAAGCAGACACCACCUCAAGAAAGCCUGGGGUCUUUGUGCAGAGGCACCAAGCCUCUUCCUAAAGGGGGAAAUGCAUCUGCAGGAAGUUGGAACCAAAUCACUUCGAGCACAGCUCAUGCUCACAGUGAAACUGAGCGCACACUGGGGACAGAGCAGCAGACAGUAAGUGGCUCUGAGGCUGGGCCAGGACGGUGAUAAAUCCAUCUCUGCAUCCCCAUCACGCUGCCUGACACAUUAGGCUGGAGAAAUGUAAGGUACCUUCUGCUGUGUCACCUUCGGAUGUCCUGUCUUUGAUACCACCUCUAGACACACCGGCCCUCUUUCCAACGUCUCCCUCCCUACGGUCUAUGGCAGAUGUGCUUAGCUGCCUACUACCAACCCAUUUCCUGCCUCUUUCUUCACUAGAGGAACUGUGCUUCCACUCAGGGCUUCUCCCCAUUGUCAGCUUGGCCAACCAUGAUGAUCCUGUUUUCUCUGCCAGUGACUGGUUUAGGUAAGAUACCAGAGAGCUUGCUCCUCUGUACUUUCUCUACAGCACGUGAGGACGCAGCAAGAAGGCGGCCGUCUCCAAGUCAGGAAAAGAGCCCUUGCCAGGACAUGAAUUGGCCGACACCUUGAUCUUGGACUUCCAGCCUCCAGACUACGAGAAAUAAAUACCUGCUGUUUACACCACA